RNAcentral lists this unclassified non-coding RNA (1178 nucleotides) under Hevea brasiliensis (rubber tree). The record is from RNAcentral. Lineage: Eukaryota; Viridiplantae; Streptophyta; Magnoliopsida; Malpighiales; Euphorbiaceae.
GAAAAAAAAAAAAAAAGAGAAGAUGCAUGAAAUAAAACGGAAUUCGGUUCAAUUACAGUUCCAAAGGCACCAAAAGAUCUGAGUCAGAUCUGAGCUAGUCAGCAUUUAUUAUAUUUGCUGACAUGAAAGAGUUAAAGGGAAGUAGAAGAAAGGAAAACUAGUUCACUAUACCACAAUUGUGUUAGGUCACUAAGCAUGACAGAUCUAGCACUCUUCUUGUUAACAAUAUACGAUCCAUUUCACCCCAUAAGGUUUACUGAACAGAUAGGAUCACAUAGGAUUUAUAAGUAAUUAACCAUGACAAAGGACAAGAUGAGGCCCAUUUUGUGCUCAAGUUUUUUAAUUUUCACAUCAUCAAUCCCAACAUAAACCCAAUACCAUAGGCAACCAUCCAAUGAAGCCCUUUGAGCAUUUUUCCAACUUUUCUAUGAUCAAUUAAUUUAAUAUUCCUUUCCUUAGUUUUGCAUUAGGGCAGACACCAUGCACUUUCCAUCAAUUGCAAGGAAACAUUUUCCCACUUCUCCAUAUAGAUUCAAUAAACAAGACCAACAAAGUUACCACAGGCAGUAAGCAAUCAAAUAAGCAUCCUCUGCCAAAGCUAUUAGUAAUAUCCAUUAACUGUUUUGGCAGAGAAGUAGGCAACUUGAAACGCUAAGAAAAGGUCUAGGAAUGAAUACAAUAACAUGAACUUUCGUGUUUCAUCUAUAUUGCCUUACAUGACCAAUGCAAUUAGACCAAUUUGCAAAGAUAACAAUCCUCAUUUUAGUAUGACUCGUCUUGCUGAUAUGAAACAUCUUUCAUGAUCAUAAGCAGCAUCUCCAGAAAACCAAGUUUGUUGCACUAAUUAAUUAUCAUGUCAACAAGAUGCACGAUUAUUAUAGUUCGUAUCAACACUCUCUCCAUCAUUUGACGCAUUCAUCAUUUUCAACAGCCUCAUCAAAACAUCCACAGACCAACCACCAAUCUCAGCAUCCAACUAGAAACCAACAAGAUUUUCAAAACCUUAAAUAAUCAUAUGACAAAUCCAAGCUCAUAAUAAAGACAGAAACAAGACUGCCAAUCAUAAUCAGAAGGUCUACAGCAAACCUAGAAUAUAAUGCAAAAUCAAAACCAAAACCUUUAACAUUUAUGAUUUAAAAAAUAGCCAAAUCUAACCUUUGCGGUUGGUGUCCUUCUCG